This 3689-nucleotide long non-coding RNA is filed under the name Homo sapiens (human). RNAcentral describes it as "HSALNT0170343". The record is from RNAcentral. Lineage: Eukaryota; Metazoa; Chordata; Mammalia; Primates; Hominidae.
ACCCGCGUGAGGUCCCUACAAACACUGUGUCAUUCCACCCGUGUGAGGUCCCUACAAACACUGUGUCAUUCCACCCGCCUGAGGUCCCUACAAACACUGUCAUUCCACCCGCGUGAGGUCCCUACACUGUGUCAUCCUACCCGCCUGAGGUCCCUACAAACACUGUGUCAUUCCACCUGCCUGAGGUCCCUACAAACACUGUCACUCCACCCGCGUUAGGUCCCUACAAACACUGUCAUUCCACCCGCCUGAGGUCCCUACAAACACUGUCAUUCCACCCGACUGAGGUCCCUACAAACACUGUCAUUCCACCCGACUGAGGUCCCUACACUGUGUCAUUCCACCUGCGUGAGGUCCCUACACUGUGUCAUCCCACCCGCCUGAGGUCCCUACACUGUGUCAUUCCACCUGCCUGAGGUCCCUACAAACACUGUGUCAUUCCACCCGCCUGAGGUCCCUACAAACACUGUGUCAUUCCACCCGCCUGAGGUCCCUACACUGUGUCAUUCCACCCACCUGAGGUCCCUACAAACGCUGUGUCAUUCCACCCGCCUGAGGUCCCUACACUGUGUCAUUCCACCCACGUGAGGUCCCUGCAAACACUGUGUCAUUCCACCCGUGUGAGGUCCCUACAAACACUGUGUCAUUCCACCCGCCUGAGGUCCCUACACUGUGUCAUUCCACCCACGUGAGGUCCCUACACUGUGUCAUUCCACCCACCUGAGGUCCCUACACUGUGUCAUUCCACCCACCUGAGGUCCCUACAAACGCUGUGUCAUUCCACCCGCCUGAGGUCCCUACAAACGUUGUGUCAUUCCACCUGCGUGAGGUCCCUACAAACACUGUCAUUCCACCCGCCUGAGGUCCCUACAAACACUGUCAUUCCACCCGACUGAGGUCCCUACAAACACUGUGUCAUUCCACCUGCGUGAGGUCCCUACACUGUGUCAUUCCACCCGCCUGAGGUCCCUACACUGUGUCAUUCCGCCUGCCUGAGGUCCCUACAAACACUAUGUCAUUCCACCUGCCUGAGGUCCCUACAAACACUGUGUCAUUCCACCCGCCUGAGGUCCCUACAAACGCUGUGUCAUUCCACCCGCCUGAGGUCCCUAGACUGGGCAAAUUCAGAGACAGAAAGUAGAAUGGUGGUCGCCAGGGGCCGGGGAAGGGGAGAAGGGGAGUUAUUGUUUAAUAGGACAAAGUUGUGUUGGUAAUGAGGAAGUUGUUUUGGGAACAGGUAGUGGUGAUAGCUACACAACACUGUAAGUGCAUUUACCACCACGCAACUGUACACUUAUGAACGGCUAAAAUGAUAAAUAUUAUGCCAUGUAUAUUUUACCACAAUUAAAAAAAAUUCCUAGACCUCAAAAAAAAAAAAAAAAUCCCAAUCUAUGCCAACCUGGGUGUCACAUUUCUCUCUGUAGGUCAAGUGAAACAUGGCCCAAACCACCCUAAGUUGCUGACAUAUAGAUGCGAACUCCACAGAGCCCGCCUCUGGGUGCUGUGUGUGCGCCUCCACCACAGCCUGUCCUGCGGGGAACACGGAGGUUAUCAGGGCGCGUGGCCAGAGAAAGGUUCCAUCUACUUUUUAAAUAACCCAGCAGCAGACAUUUAAUGGAUUUCUAUGGUUACUAUUUUACCUACGACAUAUUUGACUGUGAUCAGUACUUUAGGGCGUACACAGAAAGCCGUAUGCUGAUACCUUCAUAAUCCAAAUAGAUUACGCCUUUUACUACUGAAUUCUUUAAUGAACAGUAAGCAAAUUGAGAAUGGUUAAAGUAAAAACUUUCUCAUUCUCUCCAUUUUAAGAUCACUAUUACACACCUGAACUUAACCGGGGCUCUAUGGCAGAGGAGAUUAAUAAUUUUGGUUAAUACUACUUCAACGAUUAUCUAAUAUUUCAGAUGCCUUUAACAACAUCUAUCUGUUACCAUAAACGAAGUCAACAUCUAAGAAAUGUGACCUGUGACACUGAACAGAUCUCUAGGGUCUGACAAAGUUGCAGGGAGCUGGAGAAGCGCGGCCACGGCAGAGCUGCAAUUCCCCAUCGGCCUCUGUCUGAUAAAAGGCAACCCAUGGAUCUAUUUGGAUAAACACUCAAGAGCAGGGACAGGCUAUGAACCAAUUUCACAGACAGUGCCUCCAGUGAGGAAGGAGUGCGGGCAACGGAGUUGGGGAGUUAAAACGGAGAUGGACAGCCUCAACAUGACCGUAGCCUUCAUCUCUUCAAAAACCCAAAACAAGAUGGACCGUUGUUAAGUGUGGAGUAUGUGGGUGUUUAUUUAUUUUAUGCAAAUAAUACAUAAUUAUUUAUUCUAAAAGCAACCUAUCCCAAUGUGAGGUGGCAAACAACGGAGCCUCCCGUACACAGGUUACUGCAAAGGACGGGAGCAAAGCUGAGACGCAGCCUUCAAUGCCUACGAAAGCCAGGAACGUUUACAAACGCACUGGUACACGUAAGGCACGAAUCCCCCCUUUUCAAUCAUUAUUACUAGCUGAGUUUUUGUUUUGCUUUCUUUUAAAUCUAGUUAUGUACUAGAGCUUUUGUAAUGAAUACUCUUUUAGGGAUACUACUUCGCCAUUCUAGAUUCUGGAACAGAACUAUUGAAAUUAAAAAAAAAAAAUUUAAGGUAUUUUCAAACAUGACAAAAUGGCAGCCUAAAACCAUUAAAAUUCCAGAAAACCGGAGCACAACAGAAGGUGGGGUGCUAAGCAGUGCUGAGUCACUAUUAGGGGUGCACGGAGAGAAAAACCUUCCUCCUUCGAGUUGCUAGAACUCCCUCUUUACCUUUUCUUAAGGGCACUUUUCUCCUUAUACCUACAAACAAUGCAUUCUUGGUGUGGAACAUAAAAUAAUACAGAAAUGUGCAGAAUAAAAGCCAAAGUCUCUGUUCAGUGAGGCGUGACCACCCUUUCCCCACAGGCACCCCCGAUGUCACCCCUGGAUAUCUGCUUUCCAGAGCAGCAUUUACAACCACACUCAGCUUCGCCUGGGGUCACCGUUCUUCUGCAAAAGCUGCUGUUUUCACCCAAUGUGUCACAGACUGCUCUCCGAGGGGCCCAGAACACUCUUACUCCACAAAGUGUGUGUUCUAACACAUGUAACCGCCUCACUACUUUUAGGCAUUUAGUGUUUUCAACGUUGUAUCACUGCAGUGCACAUCUUUCUGAAAUGCUGGCCUAUUUCCUGUAGGAUUCCUACAAGUGGAACCUUGGGGUCCUAACCCUUGUGUUAAGUUUGAGAGAGAAAUGUCAAAUUACCCUCCAAAAAAUGAGUGUACAGACACUCCUUCCAGAAAUGACUAGGAAAAAUGGAACAUUAUUAUUGCUUUAAUUAGAAUGUCUUUGCUUAUUUGAGACAGGGUCCACUCUGUUCCCAGGCUGGAAUGCAGUGGUGUGAUCACAGCUCACAGCAGCCUUGACCUCCUGGGCUCAAGGGAUCCUCCUGCCUUGGCCUCCCAAAGUGCUGGGAUUACAGGUGUGAGGCCGGUCAUAUCUUUGCUCAUUAAUACCAUUUCUAUGAUGAUUAAUGUUAACUCUUUUACUCACCACCCACUUAAAACAAACCAGCCAUUAGAUGCGGUUAAACAUGCAGACCUAUUGUCUGUGUUUUUUUCACUCAAAUGUUGCUAAUUAUCAGCAAACCUGCUGCCCCUUUCAGGCAGGUAUGGUGACUCACCCAAGAAUUC